AUACGUAGGGGGCGAGCGUUGUCCGGAAUGAUUGGGCGUAAAGGGCGCGUAGGCGGCCCGGUAAGUCUGGAGUGAAAGUCCUGUUUUUAAGAUGGGAAUUGCUUUGGAUACUGUCGGGCUUGAGUGCAGGUGAGGUAAGUGGAAUUCCCAGUGUAGCGGUGAAAUGCGUAGAGAUUGGGAGGAACACCAGUGGCGAAGGCGACUUACUGGACUGUAACUGACGCUGAGGCGCGAAAGUGUGGGGAGCAAACAGGAUUAGAUACCCUGGUAGUCCACACUGUAAACGAUGAAUGCUAGGUGUAGGGGGUAUCGACCCCUUCUGUGCCGCAGUCAACACAAUAAGCAUUCCGCCUGGGGAGUACGGCCGCAAGGUUGAAACUCAAAGGAAUUGACGGGG
RNAcentral lists this ribosomal RNA (397 nucleotides) under uncultured bacterium. Its description in RNAcentral is "partial 16S ribosomal RNA". It matches the Rfam family "Bacterial small subunit ribosomal RNA", at positions 523 to 918 of the family's 1533-position model. The record is from RNAcentral.